GGUUGAAGCACAGGUAAAAAUGUGUGGAGGACCGAACCAGUGAGCGUUGAAAAGCUUUUGGAUGAGAUGUGGGUAGGGGUGAAAUGCCAAUCGAACGUGGAGAUAGCUGGUUCUCCCCGAAAUAGCUUUAGGGCUAGCCUCAUGGAGAGAGUACAGGCGGUAGAGCACUGAACAGGGUAGGGGCCUAUCCGGCUACUGAACCUAAUCAAACUGCGAAUGGCUGUACUUAUACAUGGGAGUCAGACUGCGAGUAAUAAGACCCGUAGUCAAGAGGGAAACAGCCCAGACCAACAGCUAAGGUCCCCAAUGCCGUACUAAGUGGCGAAGGAUGUGGAAUUUCGAAAACAACCAGGAUGUUGGCUCAGAAGCAGCCACCAUUAAAAGAGUGCGUAAUAGCUCACUGGUCGAGAGACUCUGCGCCGAAGAUGACCGGGGCUGAAGUACGGAACCGAAGCUUUGGCAUGUACGAGAGUACAUGGGUAGGGGAGCGUUCCUGCAUGGGAGAAGCGGUACCGGAAGGAGCCGUGGACAGGCAGGAAGAGAGAAUGCCGGUAUGAGUAGCGAAAAGAAAGGUGAGAAUCCUUUCCACCGAAAGCCUAAGGGUUCCUGGGCAACGCUCGUCGUCCCAGGGUAAGUCGGGGCCUAAUCCGAGGCGGAGACGCGUAGGAGAUGGACAACAGGUUGAGAUUCCUGUACUGCAUCCGUUCGUUCGAGCGACGGAGUGACGCAAGAAGGAAAGCGCGCGUGCGACUGGAAGAGCACGUCCAAGCAGGUAGGUCGGGAGACAGGCAAAUCCGUCUCCCAUAAGGCCGAGAUGUGAUGGGGAGCUUCUGGAGACAGAAGCGAAGGGGCCGGCACUAUAUUGCCAAGAAAAGCUUCUAGUGAGAACGGAUGCACCCGUACCGAAACCGACACAGGUAGGCAGGAAGAGAAUUCUAAGGUGCGCGGGAUAACCCUCGUUAAGGAACUCGGCAAAAUAUAUCCGUAACUUCGGGAAAAGGAUAGCCUGUAGUCAGUGAAGUGCAGAAGCGCACGGAGCUAAGGCAGGCGGCAGAAGAGAGGCCCAAGCGACUGUUUACCACAAACACAGGCGUCUGCUAAAGGGAAACCUGACGUAUAGAUGCUGACACCUGCCCGGUGCUGGAAGGUUAAGAGGACUUGUUAGCGCAAGCGAAGCAGAGAAUUGAAGCCCCAGUAAACGGCGGCCGUAACUAUAACGGUCCUAAGGUAGCGAAAUUCCUUGUCGGGUAAGUUCCG
This 1257-nucleotide ribosomal RNA is filed under the name human gut metagenome. Its description in RNAcentral is "bacterial LSU rRNA". It matches the Rfam family "Bacterial large subunit ribosomal RNA", at positions 743 to 1985 of the family's 2925-position model. The record is from RNAcentral.